CAAUGGGCGAAAGCCUGAUGCAGCAACGCCGCGUGAGCGAUGAAGGCCUUCGGGUCGUAGAGCUCUGUCCUAAGGGAAGAAUAAUGACGGUACCUUAGGAGGAAGCCCCGGCUAACUACGUGCCAGCAGCCGCGGUAAUACGUAGGGGGCAAGCGUUAUCCGGAAUCACUGGGCGUAAAGGGUGCGUAGGCGGCCAAAUAAGCCAGAGGUGAAAGGCUACGGCUCAACCGUAGUAAGCCUUUGGAACUGUAUGGCUUGAGUGCAGGAGAGGAGAGUGGAAUUCCUAGUGUAGCGGUGAAAUGCGUAGAUAUUAGGAGGAACACCAGUGGCGAAGGCGACUCUCUGGACUGCAACUGACGCUGAGGCACGAAAGCGUGGGGAGCGAACAGGAUUAGAUACCCUGGUAGUCCACGCCGUAAACGAUGAGUGCUAGGUGUCGGGGGUUCACACCCUCGGUGCCGGAGUUAACGCAUUAAGCACUCCGCCUG
Molecule: ribosomal RNA, 488 nt
Filed under: uncultured Gram-positive bacterium
Lineage: Bacteria
Description: bacterial SSU rRNA
Rfam family: Bacterial small subunit ribosomal RNA
Source: RNAcentral